GAAGCAUGAGUGCGGGUGCGGGUGCGGGGAUACGUGGUGCGGGGAUACGGGAAUUCGGCAAAAAAAAAUAAAUGGGGAUUCGGGUGCGGGGGGAUACGGCAAAAAAAAAAAAAUUAAAAAAUAUAUUUUAUAUAUUUAGAUAUAUAGCUAAUUAACAAAACAGUGGAAUAACAUUCAAAUCCAACCAAAUAGUCAUUAAAUAAGUAAUAUAUUACAUAACUAAAUCAUAACACAAAUCACAGCAUAGUGCCUACUGCUUACCCAUUAAAUAAGCCAGCAACAUCUCAGAAGCCACACAAAAACCCAUCUUUAUACAUAUAUACAAUAGAUACAAGCUGAGGCCACAAAAACGUAAACAAAUUCGCAGCAACUAAACACAACAACGAAAUCACAUAUAUACAUACAAAUAUCAUGUAUGUAUUUGUAUCACGGAAGAUGAUAGAAAGAGGAUGAGAUAGAGGAAGAUGAUAGAUAGAAAUAGGAGUGAAAAAUUACUGAAUCUGCCCUUCCCGCACCCCCUUCCCGCACCCCCGUGUAUCCCCAGAGCAAGUGCAGCGGGAUACGCCACGCGGCGCACCCGGUGCGCACCCAGCCGCACCCAGGCGCACCGCCGCACCCGCACCGCACCCGGUGCGCAGUGCAGCACCUGGGUGCCGCACCCAUGCUUCAUAGCU
This 674-nucleotide long non-coding RNA is filed under the name Daucus carota (carrot). RNAcentral's name for it is "long non-coding RNA (DCAR_LNC005086)". The record is from RNAcentral. Lineage: Eukaryota; Viridiplantae; Streptophyta; Magnoliopsida; Apiales; Apiaceae.